RNAcentral lists this ribosomal RNA (362 nucleotides) under Mytilus galloprovincialis (Mediterranean mussel). Its description in RNAcentral is "partial 16S ribosomal RNA". It matches the Rfam family "Bacterial large subunit ribosomal RNA", at positions 1916 to 2525 of the family's 2925-position model. The record is from RNAcentral. Lineage: Eukaryota; Metazoa; Mollusca; Bivalvia; Mytilida; Mytilidae.
GUUUGUUGUAAAUGGCGGCGUUAACGUGAGCGUCCUAAGGUAGCGCGAUAAUUUGCUUUUUAAUUGAAGGAUGGUAUGAAAGGGUUAACGAAGAAGAUGCUGUAUCUAAAAAUUUAAUUUAAACUAACUUUAAGGUGAAGAGGCCUUUAUGUAAAAGAAGGACGACAAGACCCUAUGAAGCUUUAUCUUAAUUGAAGGUCUUAGCCUUUUAUACGUUUUUGAUGGGAGAUCAGCAAAAAUAAGUCUUUUGCUAUAUCAUUAAUCCUACUGGAAUUUACUAGUUUUAUAUGUGUGACUAGCUACUCUAGGGAUAACAGCGCAAUUUCCCCCGAAAGAUGGUAUUGGAGGGGAAGAUUGCGACC